Molecule: long non-coding RNA, 761 nt
Organism: Hippocampus zosterae (dwarf seahorse)
Lineage: Eukaryota; Metazoa; Chordata; Actinopteri; Syngnathiformes; Syngnathidae
Exons: 2
Source: RefSeq, a predicted model, not a curated record
AUGAAACAUACACAUAAAAUAUUUGUUCUUUUUUGGUACAGCAGAAGCGCAGGAGCAUGUUUGAAUUCAACUUGAUUUAGAAGUGACUUUUUGCUCAUGUUGAUGACUGAGAGUCCACCAAUCAAUAAUACUGCACUUUUCCUAUCCUUUUAUAUUAUGAUCAUUUUACUUUUUUAGAAAAGCGAUUCGUUUUGAAUGAGUCCGAGGUUGUCUCAUAUCGGUCUCAAGAUAAUGAAAUGUCCAUAUUGUUCAGCACUAGUUUUAUGGAGGAGACUGGAACAGAUUCAUGCCAUCUUCAUUCAUGUUGACAUGGAAAGAUGAUUUGAGAUACAAGGGUUUCGGGUUACCAUUACCAUUACCGGAGCUGAUGACCUCAUGAAGGUUGCGGGCGUGUUGCAGCCUAUCCCUGCUGCCAAUAGGGUACACUCUCAAGUGGUUGCCAGCCAAUCGCAGGGCACACAUAGACAACCAUUCAAGCUCACGAUCACACCUAGGGACAAUUUAGAGUGUUCAACCAAACUCAUGUGCAUGUUUUUGGAAUGUGGGAGGAAACCAGAGUACCCGGAGAAAACCCACGCAGGCACGGGGAGUACAUGUAAACUCCACACAGGAAGGCCAUAACCCGAAAUCGACCCCUGCACUAUGCCGCCCUAAAGAAUUAUACAUCUUGGAUAAAAUAAUUAAAAUUCACCCGAUGUUUUUUUUGUUUUUAUUUCUAUUAAAGGGCUGUGAUGUCAACAAUGAAAAGAUGAAUUUAUCUG